Rhopalosiphum padi (bird cherry-oat aphid) is the source of this 2017-nucleotide long non-coding RNA. RefSeq lists it as uncharacterized. The transcript is spliced from 6 exons. The record is from RefSeq and is a predicted model, not a curated record. Lineage: Eukaryota; Metazoa; Arthropoda; Insecta; Hemiptera; Aphididae.
UCACGGCUUUCGAUGCGUCUCGUGCUCUCGUUUGUCGCUCCGGGUCAGCCACUUGUCGUCGGUCCUUCGCUCACGCCGGUCAGACGCGCCUGCCGCUUAGUCGCCUCUACGCCUUCGCUGUUGCCAUAAUAUAUCUGUUUUAACCCGCCGCCAGUGUACUUCGUGCCGUCCGAGUUGUAGUACGUCGCGUCUGUCACGCGAAUCGAUUAUAUCGGAUUAUUUGGUAUAUCAUUUACCGAUUCGGUACACCGUUCGACAUUCCGGCAUCUCCUCGCUGUCUUUCAUUUCCGGAUCUUUGGGCACCAGUCACCAGUGCGUUACGAAUUCACGUCUAUCACGUCACCUGUCAUUAUUGCCAACUUUUAAUCCUCACCCGCGGCCAGGAUCCAGGCGUUGGCCGUUUUUCAUCAACCCGGCGUAUUUUCGGACACUGCGGUACAUACAUACAUGAUACAUAUAUGGCGCUGCAUAUUAUGUAUACGGUGACGACGGUCGUCAACGCACGGGCAUGGGUCGGCAGAUCAUACCAUUACAGUCACGCAAAUCCCGUGUGACGUGUCCAGGGGAUUUAAUGCGUUUACCGGUGGACUGUAAGGAAGCAGACUGCCGUGUACAGGAUUGGAAACUUUUCCGAGGCCGUGCGGAAAUCUAUGACAAAAUCGCUCUCUGACGAUAUGAAUGAACGUCGAGAAACGUCAAGGAUGAGGAGCUAGCUGGCUAUAAUAGUGCUCUCGCGCGGUGCGAACAACGGCGCGGACCCGGAUGUGAUCGUCGGCGGCAACAGUCAUAAUGUGGCACGCGACACGACGCUUGUUGCGCUGCGAACAACAAAUGGUCCGCGGUUGCACACGGAAUGUCGUGAUUUUAAGUUCCGACUUGUCUGGGCAAAAAAUUCAACAAUUACAUCCAUUGAUAGUUAUUUCACAAUAUAUCAGAAAAGCAAAGAGAUUUCUUAACAGCGGAAGAAAAAUGAACAGUAAUUUCUUUUGAUGAAACAUAUAUUUCACACAGAAUAUGUUAAUUUUAUAAUUUAUAAAUUUGAAAAAGUAUAUGGUCCACACAGAUCUGUUUAAACCAUUGUAGUUAGAGGGUUAUUGAGCAAUUGAAAACAACCGAUAUUUUAUAACUACGAUACUGCUAUCACAAAAAAAUUACUUUAUAACAUAAUAGAAGCAUUACAUAUACAUAGUUUUAAUGUAAUCGCUAUUGUGAGUGAUAUGGGUUCUUCAAAAGUUGGAUUGUGGAAAGAUUUGGGUGUUUCUAUAACACUUUCAUGGAUUUGUUAAGUCAAUUUGAACCUGAGGCCUUUUGCAUAGAUGACAAUGAUUCCUUCAAAGGCCUUGAGAAGGAAGGUUUGCAAUAUGUCGUAGGAUAUGUUGUUUCUAGAUUUGCAAAACAAUAUUCUCUAAUGGCAUCGGAUGAGCAAACCACCAAUGAUGAAAAUUGGAUUACAUAUCUGUCCAAACUCCAAAGAAGGGGGGGUAUCCAUCCAGGCAAUGAAUUCAAGUUGCAAACAUGAUGGAAAAGUUGUUCAUUGAUCUUCAUGGAAAUCACCUAUCAAAAGAAGAAGGUAUAAUGAAGAAAUUAGCAUAUUCUUUAUUUAUUUAAUGGAAAAAAUUAAACUUACAACACUAGAUAUCCCAGUUGAAGUAGUUUGGUGUCUUGUCAGUACCAGAACAUUUAUUCGAUUAAAUAACCUUAAUUGAAUAAUAUUAAAUACUAAUAUUAGGAAGAAUAAAAUUAAGCUUAAAAAAAAUACUGAAUAAAAUAUAAUAUAUUUAAAUAAUUAGUAAUAUUAUUAAUAUUAUAUUCUGUUCUAUUAAAUGCAUAUCUUGCAUAUCACGUAUUGUAAUAUAUAUAUGUUUUUUCUCUGUUCUAAUUGUAUACAUUUUUCUUUUUAGUUUGUAUUUUAAAAUCAGAUAUAAUUCGGUAAGCUUAGAGAAGAUAGAUAAAUUAUGUAUGUAUAAACCUAAUAUAUAUGAACAAAAAAAUAUAAAUAAUAAUGAUAAUAAUAUAA